GCAAGAGGCCUUCUCUGAAAAAAGCAAAGAACUGAUGGAGGAGAUGAUUAAAGACAUUCGGAAGUCUUCAUUAGUAACCUUGAUGGACUGACCUGGAUGGAUCCGAGACCAAGAAAGCAGCUGAGGAGAAGGCCCGAGCUAUUCGCGAAAGGAUUGGCUAUUCCGCAAACAUAAUGGAUGACAAAUACCUAAACAAUGAGUACAAAGAU
Long non-coding RNA from Etheostoma spectabile (orangethroat darter), 209 nucleotides. RefSeq lists it as uncharacterized. The transcript has 3 exons. The record is from RefSeq and is a predicted model, not a curated record. NCBI's taxonomy places the organism in Eukaryota, Metazoa, Chordata, Actinopteri, Perciformes, Percidae.